This 490-nucleotide ribosomal RNA is filed under the name uncultured bacterium. Its description in RNAcentral is "partial 16S ribosomal RNA". It matches the Rfam family "Bacterial small subunit ribosomal RNA", at positions 30 to 507 of the family's 1533-position model. The record is from RNAcentral.
AUUGAACGCUGGCGGCAGGCCUAACACAUGCAAGUCGAACGGUAACAGGAAGAAGCUUGCUUCUUUGCUGACGAGUGGCGGACGGGUGAGUAAUGUCUGGGAAACUGCCUGAUGGAGGGGGUUAACUACUGGAAACGGUAGCUAAUACCGCAUAACGUCGCAAGACCAAAGAGGGGGACCUUCGGGCCUCUUGCCAUCGGAUGUGCCCAGAUGGGAUUAGCUAGUAGGUGGGGUAACGGCUCACCUAGGCGACGAUCCCUAGCUGGUCUGAGAGGAUGACCAGCCACACUGGAACUGAGACACGGUCCAGACUCCUACGGGAGGCAGCAGUGGGGAAUAUUGCACAAUGGGCGCAAGCCUGAUGCAGCCAUGCCGCGUGUAUGAAGAAGGCCUUCGGGUUGUAAAGUACUUUCAGCGGGGAGGAAGGGAGUAAAGUUAAUACCUUUGCUCAUUGACGUUACCCGCAGAAGAAGCACCGGCUAACUCCGUG